CCUACGGGAGGCAGCAGUGAGGAAUAUUGGUCAAUGGCCGGAAGGCUGAACCAGCCAUGCCGCGUGAAGGUCAGUGCCCUAUGGGCGUUAAACUUCUUUUGUGCGGGAGCAAUAAUGGUCACGUGUGGCCAGACGAGAGUACUGUACGAAUAAGCAUCGGCUAACACCGUGCCAGCAGCCGCGGUAAUACGGGGGAUGCAAGCGUUAUCCGGAUUUAUUGGGUUUAAAGGGUGCGUAGGCUGUGAGGUAAGUCAGCGGUGAAAUGCCCGCGCUCAACGGGGUGAAGUGCCAUUGAUACUGCCUGGCUGGAAUGCAGAUGCGGUAGGAGGAAUGUGUGGUGUAGCGGUGAAAUGCAUAGAGAUCACACAGAACACCGAUUGCGAAGGCAGCUCACGAAUCCGCGAUUGACGCUGAGGCACGAAAGCGUGGGGAGCAAACAGGAUUAGAUACCCGAGUAGUC
This 460-nucleotide ribosomal RNA is filed under the name uncultured bacterium. RNAcentral's name for it is "partial 16S ribosomal RNA". It matches the Rfam family "Bacterial small subunit ribosomal RNA", at positions 338 to 795 of the family's 1533-position model. The record is from RNAcentral.